This 240-nucleotide unclassified non-coding RNA is filed under the name soil metagenome. RNAcentral's name for it is "partial contains 5.8S ribosomal RNA, internal transcribed spacer 2, and large subunit ribosomal RNA". The record is from RNAcentral.
AACCUAGCACACCUGCGGUGUGUACCUGCGGAGGGAUCAUUAACCUUUCAAAUCAGGGUGCGGCGCGGCCCCCGAGGAGCGGAAACAAUCCUUGGGAGGUAUGCGGGGGCUUCGAGCCCCCCAUUUACGCACGCACGACUGCCAUUCUUACUUUACGAGCACCUUCUGUUCUCCCUCGGCGGGGCAACCUGCCGUUGGAACCGAAUAAACUCUUUUUGCAUCUAGCAUUACCUGUUCCGA